AUUAGGCAGGCGUGAUGGUGCACACCUUAUGGUUACAGCUGCUCAGGAGGCUCGGGUGGAAGGAUCGCAAUACCUCAUCUCAAAAAUAGAUAGAUAGACGCCAUCUUGUAGGUAGGUAGGUAGACAGGUGAGAAUGGAGAGAGGGGUGGUUGGGGGCAGCCUGGAGGGAGUUGAGGGGCCGUCUGGGGGUGUCCUCUCCUCACACAUCACAUCCCUCUACAGCCAGGACAACAUGUGGCGCUGUCCCCGCCAAGUGUCCACCGUGGUGUGUGUGCACGAACCCCGCUGCCAGCCGCCUGACUGCCACGGCCACGGGACCUGCGUGGACGGGCACUGCCAAUGCACCGGGCACUUCUGGCGGGGUCCCGGCUGUGAUGAGCUGGACUGUGGCCCCUCUAACUGCAGCCAGCACGGACUGUGCACGGAGACCGGCUGCCGCUGUGAUGCCGGAUGGACCGGGUCCAACUGCAGUGAAGAGUGUCCCCUUGGCUGGCAUGGGCCGGGCUGCCAGAGGCCUUGUAAGUGUGAGCACCAUUGUCCCUGCGACCCCAAGACUGGCAACUGCAGCGUCUCCGGAG
Molecule: small RNA, 578 nt
Filed under: Pan troglodytes (chimpanzee)
Lineage: Eukaryota; Metazoa; Chordata; Mammalia; Primates; Hominidae
Description: retained intron
Source: RNAcentral